This 633-nucleotide long non-coding RNA is filed under the name Chloebia gouldiae (Gouldian finch). RNAcentral's name for it is "Erythrura gouldiae (Gouldian finch) lncRNA (ENSEGOG00005009200.1)". The record is from RNAcentral. Lineage: Eukaryota; Metazoa; Chordata; Aves; Passeriformes; Passeridae.
AGACAGGGGAAGACAAAAAGGACAAACAGCUCCUGGGAAGUGGAGGCUGGGAACUGUGGGAACUCCUGGAUCUCUCUUGGCUGGAGAUGGUUUCAGGUUUGAAAGGUGGAGCCCUUCCCUGUGGUCACUGUGAAGGAAAAAGGCUCUUUUGGCAAAUGGCUCAUUCAAAGGUACAAGAGAUAAAGGAAGUCUGCUUCCUGCUGUUCUUUCCUGACAUGGAAAACAUUUGUUGGGAUGCCCCAGCAAGGCUCUGCAGUGGAACAAGAGGGUUCUUUGUGUUUCUUUUCCUCCUGAAGCUUUGCCUCUUUUCAAGAGAGACAUCUGCUCUGGUCAAUGGUACUUACAGGCCUUUCAAACCCAAUUAGGCACUUGAGAGCCAGGAGCUGUGAGUGCUCAGCUUCCCCAGCCAGCAAAGGAUUUUCCCCUCUGCAGCACAGCUUCCCUCAGCAAAGGAUUUUCCCCUCUGCAGCUCCUGUAAUACCAUGCUUUCCCAAGAUUUUUUAAUAACUGGUCAUUUGUAACUGUCUGGAGUGUUUGGAAAUAAUGGCCAUUCCUGCUCUGUUUGCUCUCUGAACAAUUUCAUUCAGCAGUUUUUUAAGAGGGAGAAAAAUAAAACUAAAAAAAAAAAAAUCA